This is a non-coding RNA of Nitzschia inconspicua, 65 nucleotides long. Lineage: Eukaryota; Bacillariophyta; Bacillariophyceae; Bacillariales; Bacillariaceae. The record is from the annotation of a GenBank genome assembly.
CAGAAGAUUAGCAUGGUCCCUGUGCAAGGAUGACACGCAAAAUCGAAGAGAAGCAAUACUUUUUU